Small nuclear RNA from Chionomys nivalis (European snow vole), 105 nucleotides. Lineage: Eukaryota; Metazoa; Chordata; Mammalia; Rodentia; Cricetidae. The record is from RefSeq and is a predicted model, not a curated record.
UCACUUUGGCAGUACAUAUACUAAAAUUGGAAGAAUACAGAGAAGAUUAGCAUGGCCUCUGAACAAGGAUGACAUGCAAACUCAUGCCAGAUUAUACAAUUUUUU